ACGGAAGGCAGCAGUGGGGAAUCUUCCGCAAUGGGCGCAGGCCUGACGGAGCAACGCCGCGUGAGUGAAGAAGGUCUUCGGAUCGUAAAGCUCUGUUGAGAGGGACGAGAGAUAAUGUCAGGAAAUGGGCAUUAGAGGACGGUACCUUUCGAGGAAGCCACGGCUAACUACGUGCCAGCAGCCGCGGUAAUACGUAGGAGGCGAGCGUUGUCCGGAAUUAUUGGGCGUAAAGGGAGCGCAGGUGGGAUUGUAAGUCAGUCUUAAAAGUGCGGGGCUCACCCCCGUGCUGGGAUUUAAACUGCAGUUCUUGAGUGCAGGAGAGGAAAGCGGAAUUCCUAGUGUAGCGGUGAAAUGCGUAGAUAUUAGGAGGAACUCCAGUGGCGAAGGCGGCUUUCUGGACUGUAACUGACUCUGAGGCUCGAAAGCGUGGGGAGC
This 435-nucleotide ribosomal RNA is filed under the name uncultured Anaerovibrio sp. Its description in RNAcentral is "bacterial SSU rRNA". It matches the Rfam family "Bacterial small subunit ribosomal RNA", at positions 341 to 769 of the family's 1533-position model. Lineage: Bacteria; Bacillati; Bacillota; Negativicutes; Selenomonadales; Selenomonadaceae. The record is from RNAcentral.